UAUGGUAAUUGUGAGCAGCCGCGGUAAUACGGAGGAUCCGAGCGUUAUCCGGAUUUAUUGGGUUUAAAGGGAGCGUAGGCGGACGCUUAAGUCAGUUGUGAAAGUUUGCGGCUCAACCGUAAAAUUGCAGUUGAUACUGGGUGUCUUGAGUACAGUAGAGGCAGGCGGAAUUCGUGGUGUAGCGGUGAAAUGCUUAGAUAUCACGAAGAACUCCGAUUGCGAAGGCAGCUUGCUGGACUGUAACUGACGCUGAUGCUCGAAAGUGUGGGUAUCAAACAGG
This 280-nucleotide ribosomal RNA is filed under the name Bacteroides uniformis. Its description in RNAcentral is "partial 16S ribosomal RNA". It matches the Rfam family "Bacterial small subunit ribosomal RNA", at positions 493 to 776 of the family's 1533-position model. Lineage: Bacteria; Pseudomonadati; Bacteroidota; Bacteroidia; Bacteroidales; Bacteroidaceae. The record is from RNAcentral.